This 405-nucleotide ribosomal RNA is filed under the name uncultured bacterium. RNAcentral's name for it is "partial 16S ribosomal RNA". It matches the Rfam family "Bacterial small subunit ribosomal RNA", at positions 28 to 526 of the family's 1533-position model. The record is from RNAcentral.
GAUGAACGCUGGCGGCGUGCCUAAUACAUGCAAGUAGAGCGCAGCGGGGACGGGUGAAUAACACGUGGAUAACCUCCUAUAAGACUUUGAUAACGUCGGGAAACCGGAGCUAAACCGGAUAAUUAUCGCUGGAUCCGGGCUGCAUUAGCUAGUUGGUAAGGUAACGGCUUACCAAGGAAACGAUGCAUAGCCGACCUGAGAGGGUGAUCGGCAACACUGGAACUGAGACACGGUCCAGACUCCUACGGGAGGAAGCAGUAGGGAACUUGCCGCAAGGGGCGAAAGCCUGACGGAGCAACGCCGCGUGAGUGAUGAAGGUCUUCGGAUCGUAAACCUCUGUUAUUAGGGAAGCGGUACCUAAUCAGAAAGCCACGGCUAACUACGUGCCAGCAGCCGCGGUAAUAC